Molecule: ribosomal RNA, 459 nt
Filed under: uncultured bacterium
Lineage: Bacteria
Description: partial 16S ribosomal RNA
Rfam family: Bacterial small subunit ribosomal RNA
Source: RNAcentral
CUACGGGCUGCUCCAGUGAGGAAUAUUGGGCAAUGGGCGCAAGCCUGACCCAGCCAUGCCGCGUGAAGGAUGAAUGCCCUACGGGUUGUAAACUUCUUUUGUACGGGACGAAACUUCCGAUCGUGAUCGGAACUGACUGUACCGUUCGAAUAAGCAUCGGCUAACUCCGUGCCAGCAGCCGCGGUAAUACGGAGGAUGCGAGCGUUAUCCGGAUUUAUUGGGUUUAAAGGGUGCGUAGGCGGGUCUUUAAGUCAGUGGUGAAAGUCUGCGGCUCAACCGUAGAAUUGCCGUUGAAACUGGGGGUCUUGAGUGCAAACGAGGCAGGCGGAAUGUGCCGUGUAGCGGUGAAAUGCUUAGAUAUGGCACAGAACUCCGAUUGCGAAGGCAGCUUGCCAGCAUGCGACUGACGCUGAGGCACGAAAGCGUGGGUAUCAAACAGGAUUAGAUACCCCAGUAGUC